AGCGCAGGUGGGAAAGUAAGUCAGUCCUAAAAGUGCGGGGCUCAACCCCGUGAGGGGAUUGAAACUACUUUUCUUGAGUGCAGGAGAGGAAAGCGGAAUUCCUAGUGUAGCGGUGAAAUGCGUAGAUAUUAGGAGGAACACCAGUGGCGAAGGCGGCUUUCUGGACUGUAACUGACACUGAGGCUCGAAAGCCAGGGGAGCAAACG
RNAcentral lists this ribosomal RNA (206 nucleotides) under uncultured bacterium. RNAcentral's name for it is "partial 16S ribosomal RNA". It matches the Rfam family "Bacterial small subunit ribosomal RNA", at positions 568 to 774 of the family's 1533-position model. The record is from RNAcentral.